UCUACAUAUAGCGCCUCUAAUUAGCGUCUUCCAUUGGAAGACAAGAUGCCUAGAUGCCUUUUUAUUUUCUUUAAUAUUAUUUUUUUCUCCCUAAGCGUCUAGCUAAGAGCCUUGCAUUGUAGAUGCCCUAAAAGCUGAAAUGUGGUAGACGACAUGUUUUAGCCACUCAUGGGCCAUGGCUUAAUUACCAGCCACAUGCGCGUAUGCAACGUGAAGGCAUGUGUGGCAGCCCGCGGUCUGGUCAACCGAAGAGAUAAGGAAACAAAUCCCCACCAGAGAAGGAAAUCUCCCGUGCUCCAACACCCACUCAUGGAGACUACCAUAGAAAUCGUUCUCGCUCCAGGGGCUCCAUGUACUAGUGCGGCCGGAGCGGCUUCUCGACGGCGAGGUUGUUAGGAGAAGGCCGAGGGCCAUCAGACGGCGGCGGGCGCCGGAGCGUGGCGCAGGCGGAGGAGUGGCUGGCGUCGGAGACGGCAGGCGCGACGGCCCGGCAGUGUCUGCGUCAACAACCACAUCGCUUCAACAACCGCAGUGGUUGGAGACGGCAGCGCCGCGGCCUCGUCGUCGCCUGUGACGACCUCGUCCGGCUGGCCGGUGCUCAAGUCCCGGCGCGGCGGUCAAUGGCGGCCAUGGUGCGACCGUAAAGCCUCUCCGCGAUGCUGCUCCAGCCCGCGUUGGCAUCGGUGUGUUCUUCGAGCGCCACGGGCAGGAGGGCGCAGCCGGGCGGCCGAGCGCGGGGGCGCGUCGUAGCGCGGAGGCCGUGGUCUGGGGCACGGCACGGAGGGAGCGAGUCCGGCGGCACGGACGGGCGCAGCGCGGGCGCGGCCACGGCCACGGCCGGCGACGAGGCGCGGCCGUGCGGCAAGUUUUGAGGUCUGAUGUCCUUGGUAAAGAAAUAAGGUUAUCUACUGAUUCUCCAUACAGCCAUGAAUCCAUCGAUUCGGUUGGCUUUUGGCGUUUGCACACAUACCAUAUCUCCAUCUAGAAAGAAUUAGGAAAGUAAGGUCGCGUCCCCGAUUGAAGGGCCUGAUGCUGUGUGGUGAAGUGCGUUCACUAAGUGCGCCGACUGUUGGCCGCUGCCAUCCGGCGUCCCGACGGGAGGAACGGCAGCGCGGAUGUGUGUGGAGGCGCAGGGGAAGAACACCAGAUCCGGGCUCGCGUCGGCCACUUGGUUCGAGGGGCCGAGGGCCACCGGUUCAUCAACGCCGGAGGGCGUCGCCCCAACCGACGUGCACUAGUCUCGCCGUUCUUCUUCUCUUCUUUUUCUUCUGCUCCUUUACGCUUGUCGCAUGGCCUAAUGCUCUCGGUAGAGGCGUGCGUGAUAACAUGUUGAGAGGAAAAUGAAUCAACUAUCUUCUUUACUAGAUGACAUCUGCUAUUUAUACAAGGGAAAGGACAUCAUUGGAAAAGGUGUCUGUUUAGAGGAGGUGCCUCUUCGGCAAAAACCGACGCUGCAGUUUUACAACUGCCUGCAGUUAGUACAAGCAGGGAUUAAUUUCAUAAUUAACAUAUGGUUAAUUAAUUCUAACAAGCCCGUUAACGGCCCCCUACGUCUUUGGGCCUAAUUACGACCCGAGCUUCUUUCGGCCUGUUAGCAGCACAUCGUCAGUUCCAGCCCGUUAACGGCCAAGAACGUCUUUCGGCCUUUUCUCGCCUCAUUGUGCAGUUGGGCCAACUUCUAGCCCGUUGUGACUUUAGGCCUGUCCUCGGCCCAUUCGAUAAAUGGACCAAUUCCUAACCCAUUUUGUCUUUCGGCUUGUUAACGACCCGCACAAUAGUUGGGCCUUUAACCAUGCAACCUAAUUUUGGGUCCAUUAGGCGCCCACGUUCCGCAGGGUAAAAUUUUAGCCCGACGCGACUCUCGGCCUGUGAAAAGCCUAGAUUGCAAAUUGAGCCUCCUCUGGCCCAUAACACUUCGACCUCUUAAUGACCCGUAAAGUAAAAGGGCUGAGACAAAAUUAAAAUUUAUUUCGGCUUGUAGAGGCUCGCGGUCCAUUUCCAUUUAUAUGGCCCUAUCGAGUUCUCGGCCUGUUAACGGCCUUCUAAGAUUCGUUGUUACGGUAAGCCAUAUUAUCUUUGAUCCACUAAAUAUUAUUUUGACGAGCCCAAUUAAGGCCCACUUUGAUUACACAUGUUUGUUCGUUCGUAUGGCGUUCAGAAAAUGUUUGGGCAUGUUGGCCCAUAUUUCAACAAUAUAGCAUAUUCAAAGAAUUAUCCUACUCUAUACUAUCACCUCUAAAAACAUACACUAUACAAUAAAAAGACUAAGGUAUAAAAACGUAGAAUAAUCCUACACUAUACAAUAAAGAAAUUACAACCGAUUAUACCCACUGGGCAUUAUAUUUCGGCACCACUGAUAAUAAAGCGUACACAAACAAAAAAUUACAUACACUGGGCAAAUAAAGCUCAUACAUCAUGGACAUGCAUCAAUAAAACUUACCAUCUGAACUAUAAUCUCUUCAGAAAAUAGGAUUGGCCGGAUUCGGAUAGCACAAAUUUCAGUCUGCAAAAUCUCCAAUUCCUUCAUGGUUACCUAAGUGUCUUGUUUCAUUUUUUGAUUCCUGCGUCUAAUACCUGCAAGUAUAGUCUCAACUUGUUGAUUGCAUGUUGAGAAUCAUGUACACGUUGUCUUGCCACCUCUAGUUGAUGCUUGAGAACAUCAGCACAUUCCAAUUCCAAUUCAUAAUCAUUUGGUAACGGCCAUGCUGCACCGCUCGUAGAUCUUUGUGUUGAUGUCACUUGAUCCUGAAAUGUUUUUGUAAGUACACAUGACUUGGGCAAAAAUAUAGUUACAACAGUGAAGAGAGCAAGACAGACUAUUUUGUACAUGACAAAACAGGACUAACAAUAAUGUUAAAUGUUGAUGUCUACUACGCAACUUUAUUCUUUUAGACACGUGUUGAGCCUCGAAGCACAGAGUUUUGUAGGACAGUAGUAAUUUUCCCUCAAGUGGAUGACCAAAGGUUUAUCAAUCCGUGAGAGGCGUAGGAUGAAGAUGGUCUCUCUCAAGCAACACUGUAAUUAAAUACAAGAAAUCUUUGUGUCCCCAACACACCCAAUACAAUGGCAAUUUGUAUAGGUGCACUAGUUCGCCGAAGAGCUGGUGAUAAAAGUGUAAUAUGGAUGGUAGAAAUAUAUUUUUGUAAUCUGAAUAAAUAAAAACAACAAGGUAGCAAAUAGUAAACGAGCACAAAAACGGUAUUGCAAUGCUUAAAAAUGAGGCCUAGGGUCCGUACUUUAACUAGUGCAAUCUCUCAACAAUACUAAUAUAAUUGGAUCAUAUAACCAUCCCUCAACGUGCAACGAGGAAUCACUCCAAAGUUCCUAUCUAGCGGAGAACAAAAGAAGAAAUCAUUUGUAGGGCACGAAAUCACCUCGAAAUUAUUCUUUCUAAUCGAUCUAUCCAAGAGUUCGUACUAAAAUAACACAAAAUAAUUUCAGAUUCACAAUACUCAAUCCAACACAAAGAACUUCAAAAAGUGCCCCAAGAUUUCUACUGGAGAAACAAAGACAAGAACGUGCAUCAACCCCUGUGCGUAGAUUACCCCAAUGUCAC
RNAcentral lists this ribosomal RNA (3556 nucleotides) under Triticum aestivum (bread wheat). RNAcentral describes it as "partial small subunit ribosomal RNA". The record is from RNAcentral. Lineage: Eukaryota; Viridiplantae; Streptophyta; Magnoliopsida; Poales; Poaceae.